AUAACAGGCUUAUCUCCCCCAAGAGUCCACAUCGACGGGGAGGUUUGGCACCUCGAUGUCGGCUCAUCGCAUCCUGGGGCUGUAGUCGGUCCCAAGGGUUGGGCUGUUCGCCCAUUAAAGCGGUACGCGAGCUGGGUUCAGAACGUCGUGAGACAGUUCGGUCCCUAUCCGUCGUGGGCGUAGGAAAUUUGAGAGGAGCUGUCCUUAGUACGAGAGGACCGGGAUGGACGCACCGCUGGUGUACCAGUUGUUCUGCCAAGGGCAUAGCUGGGUAGCUAUGUGCGGAAGGGAUAAGUGCUGAAAGCAUCUAAGCAUGAAGCCCCCCUCAAGAUGAGAUUUCCCAUAGCGUAAGCUAGUAAGAUCCCUGAAAGAUGAUCAGGUUGAUAGGUUCGAGGUGGAAGCAUGGUGACAUGUGGAGCUGACGAAUACUAAUAGAUCGAGGACUUAACCAUAUAA
Molecule: ribosomal RNA, 456 nt
Filed under: Bacillus cereus
Lineage: Bacteria; Bacillati; Bacillota; Bacilli; Caryophanales; Bacillaceae
Description: bacterial LSU rRNA
Rfam family: Bacterial large subunit ribosomal RNA
Source: RNAcentral